This is a small nucleolar RNA of Tachyglossus aculeatus (Australian echidna), 143 nucleotides long. Lineage: Eukaryota; Metazoa; Chordata; Mammalia; Monotremata; Tachyglossidae. The record is from RefSeq and is a predicted model, not a curated record.
CCCCUCUUAGGGUUGCAUCUGGAGAGUUGCCAGUACUCUACCAGUCUUGACUACAGGAGGGAGAGUCAAGCAGAGGCCCGUCCAUUCCAGUCCAUUCCUAGCUUGGGCAGUGGCUAGUGAGUGGAAGGGAAUCUGCUGCAAGU